This 519-nucleotide ribosomal RNA is filed under the name uncultured eukaryote. RNAcentral describes it as "SSU rRNA". It matches the Rfam family "Eukaryotic small subunit ribosomal RNA", at positions 1161 to 1702 of the family's 1831-position model. The record is from RNAcentral.
AGGGCACCACCAGGGGUGGAGCCUGCGGCUUAAUUUGACUCAACACGGGAAAUCUCACCAGGCCCGGACACCGGAAGGAUUGACAGAUUGAGAGCUCUUUCUUGACUCGGUGGGUGGUGGUGCAUGGCCGUUCUUAGUUGGUGGAGCGAUUUGUCUGGUUAAUUCCGAUAGCGAACGAGACUCUGGCCUAUUAACUAGACGUUAGAUCCUUUAUGGGUCUGACGAUGCUUCUUAGAGGGACGGGCGGCUUUUAGCCGCACGAGAGUGAGCAAUAACAGGUCUGUGAUGCCCUUAGAUGUUCUGGGCUGCACGCGCGCUACACUGAAGGAAUCAGCGUGUCCUCCCCGCUCUGAAAAGAGUGGGUAACCCGUUGAAACUCCUUCGUGAUGGGGAUUGGAGAUUGUAAUUAUUCUCCAUGAACGAGGAAUUCCCAGUAGGCGCGAGUCAUCAGCUUGCGUCGAUUACGUCCCUGCCCUUUGUACACACCGCCCGUCGCUACUACCGAUCGAGUGAUUUAGU